Molecule: long non-coding RNA, 1961 nt
Organism: Acanthochromis polyacanthus (spiny chromis)
Lineage: Eukaryota; Metazoa; Chordata; Actinopteri; Pomacentridae
Exons: 2
Source: RefSeq, a predicted model, not a curated record
CCUCUCAGUUUAUGACUGACCUACCUCCUGCCAGGUUUUAUACUGACUGAGGAAAGAGAUCCAUUUACUCUUAAACAGACUUUUUGGGGGGGAUUUAUGCUAAAUUCCUUUUUACUCUAAAAAACCCUUAGUUUACCGGAGGCUCCUGUAUUUUUCAAUUUCCCCAAUAGAGUGAAUUCCUUUCAGACUGGUGAACUACACAUCCGAAGUGGGCCGGCUGUUCAUGAAGUUGCAAAAUUGCAUCAUGCUACAGUCUGUCCAAGGUUCUUCUGUGCUCUGCUCAACAAUUUGCAUUUUCAAUGUGCUGUAAAAUGGACUAAUCUUGUUUAAAGUGAUCGAAAAUGUAACUACGUUUCCCCAAAGUAAUAUCUCAACGGGAACAGUUUUGUACUUUAUGUUCUUUGUAUGAUCAACAUUUUUUUUCUUUGUCAGUUUGGCUUCAUGGAGCCUAUUAAACAGACUGUGGAAAAUAAUCUUGAUUCCUUUUGCCUUUCAAAAUGACCGCAUGGGGGAGUUUAGUAGAGAGCUGAGGGCUUAUGUUAAUGUAAUGCUGCGUAUGAACAAAGUCACCUGCUCAAAGCACUGAAAUUAAACAUGGAUGUCUCUGGAGGGCGAUUGUAAAUUGGCAGUUUAGGUAUCCAGUAAUCUGGAUGAGUAGAGGGGAAGGCUGUAACUGGGUGUAUUUUAAAGUUCUCAUCAUUUGACAAGCUGCCUGUUUUAAGAUUUCCAAACUUGGAUAUUGGCUCAGCGAAUUCUUUAAAUUUUUCAAAGCCAUCCAUUAGCCAAAUGAAACUUCAGUGUAUUGAGAUCAAACCUCUAGUGAGGUUUGAAUGAGCCCCAAAAGUGGCACAUUGGAAAUGCUGGGAAAACAUCAGCUGGUGUCUGGUCAUGUUAAUGCUUCAUUACGUUCAAGAGGUCAGCUACUUCAAAAACCUACAAGUCCUUGGAGAGUGAAGUGUUGCGCCUACCAACAAGUGCUCAUCAGAGAGGAAAGCUGCUCUCUUGCCUAGGUCAUAUGUGGAGAAAGUAGGCCAGUGCACGUGAGGUAAAAAUCUCCUUUUGCUUUGCUCACAUCCUUCAAACUCAGUUCUCAUUGUUUCCAUGAAUACCUUCAAGUUAGUCGCUGUGUUUAGUCCUCUGCUUCAGAAGUCGCCUACAACCAUGCCAAGGCCUCUUCCCCAAUUCUGAUUCUUAAAAGUCCAUUAAGGGGGAAAAAGUUUCUAUGAAGCUCUUCUGGAUUGUAGUGCUCCACACCCCGAGUCCACCAAAAACAAGCAUUGGCCUCUUAAAAGUCACGGGUAGCAUUGUGGCUCAGUCCACUUGUGUUCACUGCUUUAGUCUUCAAUUCGCCUCAGUAAUGUCCCACAGCAGUCCUAAUUGAUGUGUAAGGUGUCCUAGACUGCAUUCAGUUUCUCUUUGUACCCUUACACAUGAAUAAGUGGUGAGUUUCAGACCUCAUUUAUAGUGUUGCAUGCAGAUUAUUGUGAUUUGCUGAGACAAACAUGAAUUGCCGGGCUUAAUCCAUCUCUUUAUCUUUUUCUUUAGAGUGAACUGACGGUUGGAGGCUUCACUUGAUGGCCGAGCCACUGAAGUAGCCGGGAUGAGAUGGAAGUGACAAAUGCAGAUGCUGCAUCAGGUCCAACAUGCAGCAGCAGUCAGGCAGCUGUUUGCAGUAUCUACAUGAAGGAACCUACCAACUAAAAGUUGAAGGCCUUUGAGACGUUUGCUGGCCUGAGAAGCACAUUUUCCAAAUGUUACGGCGGCUUUGCAAAGUCCUUGAUAUCCAGCUUAAGUGGAAAAUAUCGGACAGAUGGGACAGCAGAACUGUGAAUGUUUUAUUACCGUCCAGUCUGAUUUGCGCCUGUUCUCAUCAAUUGGAACUGACUUAAUUUAAAUACAAAAGACAAACUACUGUUGCCAUUUUCAUUUUUGUAUUGCAACUUCAAAAAUAAAAUUGCAAA